Molecule: ribosomal RNA, 381 nt
Filed under: uncultured marine Chaetocerotaceae
Lineage: Eukaryota; Bacillariophyta; Thalassiosirophyceae; Chaetocerotales; Chaetocerotaceae
Description: SSU rRNA
Rfam family: Eukaryotic small subunit ribosomal RNA
Source: RNAcentral
AGCUCCAAUAGCGUAUAUUAAAGUUGCUGCAGUUAAAAAGCUCGUAGUUGCAUUUCCGAGGCAAGGGAUUAGUCCGACCUUUGGUGGGUAUUUAAUCCUCUUGCCUCGUCCUUGAGUGGUGCUUCUUGGUAUUAAGUUAUCGAGGCGAUAGCCGCUCAUCGUUUACUGUGAGAAAAUUAGAGUGUUCAAAGCAGGCUUAUGCCGUUGAAUAUAUUAGCAUGGAAUAAUAAGAUAGGACCUCGGUACUAUUUUGUUGGUUUGAGAACCAAGGUAAUGAUGAAUAGGGACAGUUGGGGGUAUUCGUAUUCAGUUGUCAGAGGUGAAAUUCUUAGAUUUACGGAAGACGAACUACUGCGAAAGCAUUUACCAAGGAUGUUUGCA